Molecule: ribosomal RNA, 484 nt
Filed under: uncultured bacterium
Lineage: Bacteria
Description: partial 16S ribosomal RNA
Rfam family: Bacterial small subunit ribosomal RNA
Source: RNAcentral
AUUGAACGCUGGCGGCAGGCCUAACACAUGCAAGUCGAGCGGAUGAAGGGAGCUUGCGCCUGGCUUCAGCGGCGGACGGGUGAGUAAUGCACAGGAAUCUGCCCGGCAGUGGGGGAUAACGUCCGGAAACGGGAGCUAAUACCGCAUACGACCAGAGAGAGAAAGGGGGGGAUCUUCGGACAUCACGGGAUCAGCUGAGCCUAGGCCGGAUUAGCUAGUUGGUGGGGUAACGGCCUACCAAGGCGACGAUCCGUAACUGAUCUGAGAGGAUGAUCAGUCACACUGGAACUGAGACACGGUCCAGACUCCUACGGGAGGCAGCAGUGGGGAAUAUUGGACAAUGGGCGAAAGCCUGAUCCAGCCAUGCCGCGUGUGUGAAGAAGGUCUUCGGAUCGUAAAGCACUUUAAGUUGGGAAGAAGGGCAGUAUGUUAAACCCUUGCUGUUUUGACGGUACCGACAGAAUAAGCACCGGCUAACUUCGUG